Molecule: ribosomal RNA, 1554 nt
Filed under: Triticum aestivum (bread wheat)
Lineage: Eukaryota; Viridiplantae; Streptophyta; Magnoliopsida; Poales; Poaceae
Description: partial small subunit ribosomal RNA
Source: RNAcentral
AUGGCGGCAGCCGCGCCACCGCUCUGCGCGUGGCUCGUCGCCGCGGGCGCGCACGCGGACUGCGGGGCGGACGAGCAGCACCGCCAGACGCAGUGCCUCGAUGCCGGCUCCGGCGCGACGUUCGGCCUCGACCGCCGCCCCCUCGGGGCGCGGCGCCGUGGGUCCGCGCGCUCUGGUGAGACUCGCACGCGCCCUGUCCCCCGCAUCUGUCCCUUGCUGCUCUUGCUUGGACCGUGCCACGAACGAAUGGCCAUGUCUGUUGCCUUGCAGCCUGAAAGGGUGAUUGUUGAGAAGAAGAGACCUGAUGUUAAACAAAGGAGAGUGGUCGUCACUGGCAUGGGUGUAGUGACGCCACUGGGUCAUGAUCCUGAUGUGUUUUACAACAACCUUCUUGACGGUCAUAGUGGAAUAAGCGAGAUUGAGACGUUUGACUGCUCCAAGUUUCCCACGAGAAUUGCAGGAGAGAUCAAAUCCUUCUCUACCGAAGGUUGGGUUGUACCCAAGCUAUCUAAGCGAAUGGACAAGUUCAUGCUGUAUUUGAUAACUGCUGGUAAGAAAGCAUUGGAAAACGGUGGACUCACCGAAGAAGUCAGGAAUGACUUGGAUAAAACCAGAUGUGGGGUUCUCAUUGGCUCUGCGAUGGGCGGCAUGAAGGUGUUUAAUGAUGCGAUUGAAGCGUUAAGGGUUUCUUACAGGAAAAUGAACCCGUUUUGUGUUCCCUUUGCUACUACUAAUAUGGGUUCUGCAAUACUUGCAAUGGAUCUGGGCUGGAUGGGGCCAAACUACUCUAUUUCCACUGCAUGUGCAACCAGUAACUUUUGUAUCCUCAACGCAGCAAACCAUAUCAGAAGAGGGGAAGCUGAUGUCAUGCUUUGUGGUGGUUCUGAUGCGCCACUCAUCCCAAUUGGAUUGGGAGGUUUUGUUGCCUGCAGAGCUCUUUCACAGAGGAACAGUGACCCAACAAAAGCUUCCCGGCCCUGGGAUAUGGACCGUGAUGGUUUUGUUAUGGGAGAAGGGGCAGGUGUGCUAGUAUUGGAAGAACUUGAGCAUGCUAAGCAAAGAGGUGCAACAAUAUAUGCUGAAUUUCUUGGUGGAAGCUUCACAUGCGAUGCUUACCAUAUGACCGAGCCGCAUCCUGAAGGAACGGGGAUCACUCUCUGCAUUGAGAAGGCACUGGCUGAUUCAGGGGUAGCAAGGGAAGAAAUUAACUAUGUGAAUGCGCAUGCAACAUCUACACAAUCAGGCGAUUUGAAGGAGUAUGAAGCGAUCGUUCGUUGCUUCGGCCAGAACCCUCAGCUAAGGGUGAACUCAACAAAAUCAAUGACCGGGCAUCUUAUAGGAGCAGCUGGUGGAAUAGAAGCUGUUGCUUGUAUACAAGCUAUAAGAACUGGUUGGGUCCAUCCAAAUCUGAAUUUGGAGAACCCAGAAAAAGUAGUGGAUGUGGGCGUUUUAGUUGGAGCAGAGAAGGAGAGGUGCGAAGUAAAGGUGGCGCUGUCAAACUCAUUUGGAUUCGGUGGGCAUAACUCAUCAAUUCUGUUUGCCCCCUUCAAGUAA